This 370-nucleotide long non-coding RNA is filed under the name Marmota monax (woodchuck). The record is from RNAcentral. Lineage: Eukaryota; Metazoa; Chordata; Mammalia; Rodentia; Sciuridae.
UCCAUUUCAGCCAGGGCAAGCCACUAGAAAGAUAUUUGGAAACAGCAAGAAAGAAAAGCUCUCUGCCCACUUCAGCUGCAGGAAGGCCUUGACACCCAUGUUGGAUUCCUUGGACACCCAUGUUGGAUUCCUUGACACCCUGAAGUCCUCCCUGGGGAGAAACAACAGAGACCACAUCUACCCUUCCCAUGCAGAAUGGCCUCACUUGGCUUCCAGGGAACCAUCCACGUGGGUCCUGGGCUCAGCUGGAAUCCUGGACCACAGCUCCCUCUAAGCCUGGUAAUUCUGAAUUUCUUAAAAAGCACACUCUGACCUUCACCCCCGAAAUCUUCCUAAUGAUUGUAUGAGUUUAUAAUUUUAUAUGUCAAAU